CUUGAAGAGCACCUCCGAGCCGGGGGACCUAAAGUCUUAGCGCUAUGGACCCGGGCCGAUAGGGUGCGUUGGGAAACCGGCGCGCCUCCCGUUGCGGAAAGGAUGGUGGGGGCAUUGUUU
Molecule: non-coding RNA, 120 nt
Filed under: Desulforudis
Lineage: Bacteria; Bacillati; Bacillota; Clostridia; Thermoanaerobacterales; Desulforudaceae
Also listed under: 1 other name
Description: Candidatus Desulforudis MoCo sequence
Rfam family: Molybdenum/Tungsten riboswitch aptamer (Moco RNA motif)
Source: RNAcentral